CUGCCAGUCUCUCCAGGCCUGCUGUGGCUUUUAGAAAACAGAGCAUGUCUAUUUUUAGCCCUUCUCAGCCUAAUAAUACUCCCCAACACCCAUUCAGCUUAAUCACUUUAUUGAGGACAAGAAGCGGGCUCUCUAGCCCGGGUGCUUCUGAUGUUAGGAAGUAGUAAAAUGUUCAAACUGGUUAAAAAUGACACUCAUUGGCUUGCCUUUGGUGUUUCUGAAACCUUAAUUGUGGCUCAGGCUGUGGAUCUAAAGAGCCUUGCAGGUUUCAGAGUCUGGCUUCCUUACCCCCUGCACCAUAAUUGAGGUGUUACAUUACAACUACGGCACUGACAUUUGCAGGCUCAAAAUUCAGCAGCCUUAAGAUGCCACACUUUUCAAAACAGAAAUAUUGCCUGCCACACUUAAUGCCUAUUCUAAGUACGAACCACCUCCCUGCCGGAAAAAAACAAACCAAAACAAAACAAAACUCGUCUUUUCUGGCUCCUCCCAUGCCAGAGGUCCAGGUGGGAAACUAUUUGCCAUAUUAAGCCCAUAGCUGCUUGAAAACAGAAAGGUUUGUUUGGUGUAAUUAGAAGACCUGCGAGUUUGGUGUGUGCAGGAAAUAGACUGUUGGCAGCUCUUCCACGUGCACCUUUGAGACCGUGACUUCCAAAGCUUCAGGGCCAAGGAGGCCCACAGCCAUCACAGGGAUUGGAGGACUCCCAAGUGCAAGAAACUGGGCUCUAAGUCUCUGCCAGGUGGCUAUGGGCGGAGGAGGAUGAGGAGGAAAGAGAUGCCUGCCUGGAUGGUUCUAGCUCACAGAAGUUCUUGCUUCCUCUUGUCCAGAAAGCCAAACCAUGCAUCCUGAGCCCUUCACUUCUUCAACAGAUAUUUCCUGAGAGCCUGCUAUGUGUCCCGCUGUGAGGAUGCAACAGAGCACACUACUGACAAGGUCCCCGCCUUCCAUCCUUGUCUUCUCAUCCAGAUUGCUGACUCCUGGGGCUGGAGGGAAGCAGGCAGCACCUCAGGCUGAUUUCGCGUGAUAGGGAAAUGAAGAGGAGAGGAGGACGACAGGGAGAGAAAGGAGGAAAAACUGCGAAGGAAGAACAAGCCGGAGCUCCGUCUGCCUUUCAGAAAUGACAUCUCUGCGGAAUUCAAUGCGGCCUAUUCUCAAGCAUCGGAGAAACUCUUUUCUUGCCUCCUCCUUCACCCCACCCCAACCAGAUUAGAAAAAAAAAAUUAAUGGUGUAUGAUGACAAACUUGGCUCAGCACUCACUGUACAUACUGUACCCACAAGUCUGGCUCGCAGCCAGGCCUGGCCUGGAGCCAGGACUACAAUAACAAACACAGGCAAUGCUCGCCAAGAGGGGGUGGGGCAGCACACAGAGCUAGCCAGGAAGUGAGAGCCGUUCGGCUCUGCUGAGCAGAAGAAAACAGCAGGAAUGUGCCAGUGCAAGGGCAGCAACAUUUAGGGGGGCAACCACAACCCCUACCCAGAUCCUGGACUCACUUCUCCACAGCCUGCGCCUUUUGAAAAAAAAUGCUCGCCUCCCCCCCGCCUCCCCCGCCCAGGGUUCUGGAGCAACUACUGUUCUUCCAGGCUGUGGGCUGCUUGAACCCUUGGUCAUCUGUAAAAUGGGUCUACUCUACAGACCUGGCACACCCAUUCUCACUGUCAGCUUUCUUCAUGGAACCUUCAAAAUAGAGCAGCAGGAAAACCUCACAUCAUCUAAUUCAAUGUCUCUUCUAAAACAUCACCUAGUUCUGUUUUCAGGCAUCAGAACAUGUAAACCACUACUGGAAUCUGUAAGAAGACCCAGCGCCACCAGCCCAGCCCUCUGACCCCAACUCCCCAACAAGUCCAGGUCACUCCAGAGGCCCCCAGGGCCUGUUUAACAGUGGCCAAACAAUUCAGGAAAUGGUCUAGCCUCACUAAGCCCUUUGUGCUAUUUUAUUUUCAAGACCUCUCAGCACGGAGGUGAGGAGUAUGCCGGACAACAGAAAGAAAAAAAAGAAUAGAAAUAUCAGAAUAUAGGCCGUGAGCUAUCUGCAAGGGUGAAUUAAAACACUACUAUGACUCAUCGCACCUGCCUAAUCAUCAAAUCAUCCUUUCCAAGGGCAUUGGCAAGUGACUAGCAGAGGGACAAAUCAUUUGACACAAUCAGCCUUCAGUGCCCAGUAAGACAGGCAUGGAAAGGAAAAACUAGGAAAAGAGGACCCAACUCCCAAAGCCUCUGGAGCAGCCAUAUGAGAUCAGGGGACCUGGAAGCAGCAUCUCAGGUGGAACCAAAGUCAGCUUCCCCAGGGAACCGCCAGCUCCGCAGGGCAGUUGCACAGUCACACUCUUGUCUGAACUGGGGACACCGGGCCCACCUGACAUGAGUAUGCAAGCAACCCUUUCUUUUCUGCAGCCGCUUCCACCAGCCCCACCAAUGCUGCUGAUGUGUGAUUCACAGCAGAGACACUGGCUAACUCACACUGGGUCACACCGCCUGGAAGAGGGAUACAAUACGAGCCAGGGGCUCCUGGCUGUCCCCUCCAGUGAGUCCUUAGGACAUAAACAGUUCCUACCACAGGAGGGACUUGUCCGGAGAGAGGAGUGUCCCUGUUCAUCGGCAUCCCAGGCUGCAUCAUUCACUCAACAAAUACUUCUUGGCACCAAUAAUGUGCCAGGCAGUGUGCUGGACAUAACGUGGACAGGAUCUAACCCCAUGACAUGUUAGCUAUGGUGGUAUGUAUUCAAGGUGAGCCUCACAGCUUCUCCGAGAUAGCGUUAAAUAUUUUCAUUUUACAGAUGAGGAUACUGAGGCUGUAAGAGCUUAUGGUUCUUGCCCCAGAUCACAUCAGCAGUAGGUACGUGUCCAAAUUCCUUCCACCAUGUAACCCCGCCUCCCAAGUAAGAGAGAUAAGUCCAUAAAUAACUGUAACACAGAAGAAAAACUGCACCCAAAGAUAGCUUCAAAUAAAGAAACAUGGGCACAGAAAAGGCACGACUGCUUCUGGCUGGAGGUGGGGAACAGCUGGGGAUGGCAUCAUGGAAGGGACCUUGGAAGAUCUGGGAAGAUGGGAGAUGGGUUAUUCCAAGUAGACAGAAUGGGGCAAACAAAGCCACAGAGCCCAGAAAGCAACAAGCCCAUAAAGCAAACCAAGAAAAUGAGUCUGGCUACAGCACUGGACUCAAGGAAAGAGCAAUAAGAAAGGACGCUUACUGCGGCUGAGAGGGCAAAGACGCUUUACCAACAGGCUAGAAGUGCACUGCCCCAGAAGUGCCCAGCACCACACAGGGGUCUAGGGCAGGACGCACCACACUCUGCAGUAAGGCAGUGGUGGGCUAAAGCAGAAAAAAUCAAGACCAAGAAAGCAAGGGAAGGGUAGCCAACCUGGUAGGCAGAUAGUUCAUGAAACCCGCCACACUCUGAACCUUAAGUAGCGUACAAAGCUGAAGGGAAGCAUGAAGAUACAAGGUGUAAGUCCCUAAAACAGAAGAAAAAGUGUACGUGAGUGUCAAGCAGAUCCGGACGCAGAAAUGCCUGGAAGUUAGGGCUCUGGGCUGAGGUGAGACACAUGGGCAGGAGGAGGAUGAUUCAGUGGAGCCAGGGGCAGGGUGGGGAGGGCCCACAGGAAGGAAGAACAGAAUGCACGAAGACAUGGGGACAGUAGACGCGCUGAGAGAGAUAGCUGCCAGCUGCCUGCUGUGGACAAAUCCGUGCGCCUGGAAGAGGGAAGAAUGGGAAGUGAGAAGGAGUUAGGACGCUUUAGGAAGGGCCAUGAGGGCCGGGGGAGAGACCACAUCCAACACAAUGCGGAACCACAUGGGCCCUGCAGCAAGGCAGUGGGGAGCUGAAGCAGAAAAAGCGAACGAAGAGCACUUCCACGACUGUACCCAUGAUGGGCUCAGGGGAAAGACAGUACUAAACGGCCAGGCAGGCAGGGAACGAGCGGAUGGGGACACGCCCCCCGGGGCAACAGGCUCAGAAACAAGGAUGAGGGAGGAAGGUGCAAGCAGAAACCAUUAACAUUUAUUAAAUGCCAACUGUAUGCCAGGGGCUUACUACAGAUGCCUUCAACGUAUAUUCUGUCACUUAAUCCUCCAAAAAAUUAUGUAAGUUAACAACACCAGCACUUGACAGAUGCAGAAACUGAGGUUCACAAGAUGAAUGUAGCUAAGGUCACACAGCACAUAUUACAAACAGGAUUUGAACCUUUCUCUGCCUGACCCCAAAGCCCAUUUCCCAAAUGCCAAACUGCCUGGAGGGCCAGUUUCUGGAGCCAAUAUGGGGAAAGGAGAGGCAGGCCUUGGCCUACAUGAGGAGAAGACAAGACCAAAUGAAACAACAGCCCUCUCCUCUCCCCUAAAAAAUGACUCCAAGGUUGGAAGGCAAGGGAAUUAAAGGGAAGAGACUAUGCACCUGGCAAAGAAGAGUUGAGGCCUCCACAACUAAAGUCAGGUGACCUAAGCCUCAAAGCCACCGCAUCAGACCUGCUAGAUCCUUCCCUCCACCAAGAACACUCGGGCCUGCCAAAUGUCAGGUGCUUC
This 4520-nucleotide long non-coding RNA is filed under the name Homo sapiens (human). RNAcentral's name for it is "HSALNT0181366". Lineage: Eukaryota; Metazoa; Chordata; Mammalia; Primates; Hominidae. The record is from RNAcentral.